Molecule: ribosomal RNA, 492 nt
Filed under: uncultured microorganism
Description: bacterial SSU rRNA
Rfam family: Bacterial small subunit ribosomal RNA
Source: RNAcentral
GAGUUUGAUCGUGGCUCAGAACGAACGCUGGCGGCGUGGAUAAGACAUGCAAGUCGAACGGGAGAAUUGCUAGCUUGCUAAUAAUUCUCUAGCGGCGCACGGGUGAGUAACACGUGAGUAACCUGCCCCCGAGAGCGGGAUAGCCCUGGGAAACUGGGAUUAAUACCGCAUAGUAUCGAAAGAUUAAAGCAGCAAUGCGCUUGGGGAUGGGCUCGCGGCCUAUUAGUUAGUUGGUGAGGUAACGGCUCACCAAGGCGAUGACGGGUAGCCGGUCUGAGAGGAUGUCCGGCCACACUGGAACUGAGACACGGUCCAGACACCUACGGGUGGCAGCAGUCGAGAAUCAUUCACAAUGGGGGAAACCCUGAUGGUGCGACGCCGCGUGGGGGAAUGAAGGUCUUCGGAUUGUAAACCCCUGUCAUGUGGGAGCAAAAUUAAAAAGAUAGUACCACAAGAGGAAGAGACGGCUAACUCUGUGCCAGCCGCCGCCGU